GAUGAACGCUGGCGGCGUGCCUAAUACAUGCAAGUCGAGCGAACGGACGAGAAGCUUGCUUCUCUGAUGUUAGCGGCGGACGGGUGAGUAACACGUGGAUAACCUACCUAUAAGACUGGGAUAACUUCGGGAAACCGUAGCUAAUACCGGAUAAUAUUUUGAACCGCAUGGUUCAAAAGUGAAAGACGGUCUUGCUGUCACUUAUAGAUGGAUCCGCGCUGCAUUAGCUAGUUGGUAAGGUAACGGCUUACCAAGGCAACGAUGCAUAGCCGACCUGAGAGGGUGAUCGGCCACACUGGAACUGAGCCACGGUCCAGACUCCCACGGGAGGCAGCAGUAGGGAAUCUUCCGCAAUGGGCGAAAGCCUGACGGAGCAACGCCGCGUGAGUGAUGAAGGUCUUCGGAUCGUAAAACUCUGUUAUUAGGGAAGAACAUAUGUGUAAGUAACUGUGCACAUCUUGACGGUACCUAAUCAGAAAGCCACGGCUAACUACGUG
Molecule: ribosomal RNA, 497 nt
Filed under: uncultured bacterium
Lineage: Bacteria
Description: partial 16S ribosomal RNA
Rfam family: Bacterial small subunit ribosomal RNA
Source: RNAcentral